This 467-nucleotide ribosomal RNA is filed under the name uncultured bacterium. Its description in RNAcentral is "partial 16S ribosomal RNA". It matches the Rfam family "Bacterial small subunit ribosomal RNA", at positions 28 to 507 of the family's 1533-position model. The record is from RNAcentral.
GACGAACGCUGGCGGCGUGCUUAGCACAUGCAAGUCGAACGGAAAGGCUCCAGCUUGCUGGAGUACUCGAGUGGCGAACGGGUGAGUAACACGUGGGUAAUCUGCCCUGCACUCUGGGAUAAGCCUGGGAAACUGGGUCUACUACUGGAUAUGACCUUUCUCCUUAUGGGGUUUGGUGGAAAGUUUUUCGGUGUAGGAUGAGCCCGCGGCCUAUCAGCUUGUUUGUUGGGUGAUGGCCUACCAAGGCGACGACGGGUAGCCGGCCUGAGAGGGUGAUCGGCCACAUUGGGACUGAGAUACGGCGCAGACUCCUACGGGAGGCAGCAGUGGGGAAUAUUGCACAAUGGGCGGAAGCCUGAUGCAGCGACGCCGCGUGAGGGAUGACGGCCUUCGGGUUGUAAACCUCUUUCAGCAGGGACGAAGCGUAAGUGACGGUACCUGCAGAAGAAGCACCGGCUAACUAUGUG